GCCGGGCGCGGUGGCGCGCGCCUGUAGUCCCAGCUACUCGGGAGGCUGAGGCAGGAGGAUCGCUUGAGCCCAGGAGUUCUGGGCUGUAGUGCGCUAUGCCGAUCGGUUGUCCGCACUAAGUUCGGCAUCAAUAUGGUGACCUCCCGGGAGCGGGGGACCACCAGGUUGCCUAAGGAGGGGUGAACCGGCCCAGGUCGGAAACGGAGCAGGUCAAAACUCCCGUGCUGAUCAAUAUCUAUUGGCUCUUUUUUUUUUUUUUUAAAGAUUUUAUUUAUUUAUUUGACACAGAAAGAGAUCACAGGCA
Molecule: signal recognition particle RNA, 304 nt
Filed under: Neogale vison (American mink)
Lineage: Eukaryota; Metazoa; Chordata; Mammalia; Carnivora; Mustelidae
Description: Neovison vison (American mink) Metazoan signal recognition particle RNA (ENSNVIG00000003939.1)
Rfam family: Metazoan signal recognition particle RNA
About the family: The signal recognition particle (SRP) is a universally conserved ribonucleoprotein. It is involved in the co-translational targeting of proteins to membranes.
Source: RNAcentral